CUGUUUGAAGGUGUAUGGUCUGUCCUCUCUGUGGAGGCUGUUCAGAGGGAAGAAAUGGAACGUCCUCAGACAGAGAGUAGACUCCUGCUCUUAUGACCUGGACCAGUUGUUUAUCGGGACGUUGCUGUUCACCAUCCUGCUGUUCCUCCUGCCAACCACAGCUCUAUACUACCUAGUCUUUACCAUGCUCCGCCUUGUGGUAGUAAUGUUCCAGGGAGUUCUCCACCUCAGUGUUGACUUCAUCAACUCCUUCCCUCUGUUUGCCAUGGGCCUCCGAGUCUUCAGAUCCUACAGACUGGCAGGUGGG
This is a long non-coding RNA of Coregonus clupeaformis (lake whitefish), 307 nucleotides long. RefSeq lists it as uncharacterized. NCBI's taxonomy places the organism in Eukaryota, Metazoa, Chordata, Actinopteri, Salmoniformes, Salmonidae. The transcript has 3 exons. The record is from RefSeq and is a predicted model, not a curated record.